AAAAAGAGAAAAAGAAAAAAAAUUUGAAUAGAUGGACCCACGAACAGACUGAAAUAUGACAGAAAUUACUUCGUUUUCCCCUAGAUGUCAGACUAUGAAGCGCUUGAUAGUCCAUAAACUAAGCAAGAGGAGAGACUCAUGUUCCUGAAGAGCGCGACUGGCCCAGUUACACGGGGCUUAGUGUAAUGGCAUCACCCAGCUACGCAGUCUCUAGGAUCGGAACUCUCUUCUCCCUGAUCAGCAAUCAUGCACCCGUCCUUUGUCUUCACCUUAUGUCCACUCCCUGCUUUUACAUGGUCUGUGACCAAGCUCCAGGCAGCACCUUACUCUAGAGUUUUAUCUCAGAUAUGGCUGUUUUUUCCGACCCCUUAUUUCUGAGGAACUGCGGCGUUGACCCGUUCUGCCCCUCUGGGGAGGGUCUCACUGAGCAAUGGCCAGGUGCUGGCCCCACCCAGGUACGUUCAUGGGAUCAUGCUGCUGCCAACACCCAGAGACUGCAGCUGGAUGCCAGGCCGCCCCAGAAAAAGUUCACAUGAUCCUGUAGCAGCGGCGUUUCAGGGAUAUGGAAAAUCACAACACACAUCUGGCACCAGGCUUCACCCCCAGCAACCUUGUUCCAACACCAGUGAAUAUGGUUGUUCUCCCGAGGUCCACUGGGGCCUUUGACUUUGGGUGAUCCACACAGCCUUUACCAGGUGUCCUCCCAGCAGGGGUACCGCCUCCUCCGUGUGGCCUAAAGACCCUGGACUUCACUGUGCUUCUGGGGAUUCGCCCUUCUCACCAGUGCUCCACCAGUGAGAAAAUAAUUUUACGUUAAGUUGCUGCAUCUACACCUCAAAUGUUCAUCAUGAGUUUCAUCUUUCCAAUGAGACCCAGGGCCUAACACCAGCGACAGACUUCAACAAGGUUUUGUUUACGGAGAAAACGGAAACACCUCAUGUACUUCCUGUUUCUCCUGAAUUUUUAAAAUAUUAUGUCAUAUUUUAUGAAUCACAUUGAAAAAAGGUUCCAUAGGUACAAAAAUGCAUCUGUAUUAACUAUGUCUUUCCAAAAUGUCUUUUCCACACCCCUACCUUAGAAAGUAGAUAUUUAAAAAAUAAUCUUUUCUUAAUGACUCAUAAAUAUGUAGCAUUUGAUGCUCCCUCCUUCUCCCCUUUACUAUCAAAUAUGCGAAUAGUGUUAUAUCUUAGUUGUGGGUCAGUGCUAACAUUUUGCAUCUAAAAAUAAUUUGACCUUCAUUCUAGAUCUGUGGCUUUUUGUGUGUGUGGCUUUUUGUUUUUGUUUGUUUGUUUUAAAUGUUUAUUUAUUUAUUUUGAGAGGGCAUGCAUGAGAGAGCAGUAGUGAGGGAGGGGCGGAGAGAGAGGGAGAGAGAAUCUGUGCUGCCAGCUCAGAGCCCGAUGACCCAUGAGAUCAUAAGCUGAGACAAAACCAAGAGUGGGAGGGUUAACCAAUUAAGCUUUCCAGGCAACCCUUAGAACUGUGUUUAUCUAAUAGUUGAGGGAUAUUAAGACAAUCCCUCAGUUCAUGGGGUAUCAGUUUCUCUUGCUAAAAUGAAGUAGGCAAAGUGCUUAAAAUCAAAUGGUAAGUCCUGUUCAGCUACAAAAUUUACUGUCUGAUAUUAGGAUUUAUCUAUGCUGAAUUCACCAUAUAUCUGUUAAAGAAAAUCAGAGCCAGAUAGAAGUUAAAGCAGUGAGGAUAGAUUUCAUGGGGGAAAAAAAAAAGUAUUGUAGUAGGGGAAGAGAGCCUCCAGAAUAUGAAUUGGCUCAAUUCCAAAUACAACCGUAACCAGGGGGCAUUUACAGUCAAGAAGCAAGGAGGCUGGGGAAAGGACUGGGGACAUUAGUGAAUGGGAAAUUACUAAGAAGAGACUUCAAAUCUGGGCGUGGGGGUGGAUUCCGGUGAAUCUAACCUAACAGAAAUCUUGCUGAAGGUAGUCCAGAGUGAUUAGAUAUCACCUGGGGGAUUGUACGGAUAAAGGAUUUGAUCAGAUAUCAGGAAUGGAGAAUUCUUGCUAAACUCACUUAGCAAGAGUUUUGUUAAAAGUAGAUUCUACAAGGAAGUAACAAGGAUGAGUCUUACUAGGGAGAGGGUUCAGAGAAAUCUGACCCAAGUUUGGUCAAAGAAUCUUUGUCAUACCCUAGAAUUAACUCUUGUUUGUUUUUACAGAUUUCUGUAAUUUGGACAAUACCUUUUUAUUUUAGGUGCACUUCCUUGUCAUGAAAUAUCAGAGAAAGAAAUAUUCCGAUUAUUUAAGUUCCUUGUUAGUAAUAACCAAAGUUGCCAUGCUUACAGGCUUACUGUGUACCAGGUUGGUACUAAGUGCAUGUAUCUUUCAGAAUAGCCUACCUUAUGGCACAAUACCAACUCCAAAAUCUCACCAUCUUAGAAAAUCAAAGGCUUAUUCCUUGCUCAUGUCAUAUGUCCACUGUAAGUUGGCUGCAACUCUGCUUAGCACCACCUUCACUCUGGUACCCAGCUGAUGGCCCACCUCUGUCUGAAAUAUUCUCAAUCUUGUGGAAGAGAGAAACAAGAGGUAUCAUGGAACACUACAUGAUGCUUCUCAAAACUUCUGCCCAAUGUAAUACACAGCAUUUCUGCUCAACUACCACAGACAUAAGCAAAUCUAUGGCAUUGGCUUGGUGUCAUGGGGAGAAGAAGUAAACAUUACCAUAGAAACAUUCAAUAAUUGUGAAAAAUAAUACAGCCUGCCAAAGAGUUCUUAUGUAUAUUAUUAUAUAUAAACUUUAAAUCAGGACUGAUUGUAAUUUUUUUCUCUUUUAAAUAGGGAAAAACAAAAUUAUAAAUGUAGAGCUGUUACAUUUAAAAAGCCUGGAUUUGAAUGAAGAUUCAGAUCUGUAGUUUUCAACUUGAAAUCAUUUUGUCAAAUUUUGAUAAAUUGGUUAUAUUCUUUUAUGGGGAUCUCCUAAAAAGCAAGUAAGAAUGAUAAAGUAAGAAGUAUAAUUAGGAAGACGAUGAUAGUGAAAACAUAAGAUUAGCAAUGAAUUUUCUCUUUUAAAUGUUCAGAAUUCUGUUGUCUUAGUCAAAUAUAUACUCUAAAUGGCUUCUAAGCAUUAAAAAUGUUGGGGAUUUUGUAAUGGCAGACCUUUAUAAUGAUUUGAUUUAAAAAUUUUGAUUUCAAUGUUUUAUUUUCUUAGUCUAGGAUGUGGAGAAGCAGUGAGUCAAAGUCAAAGAAGUAGAGCAAGGAGAAAGGGAGGGGCAAGCAUAGCACUUUUCAUCACACAGAAAUUGAGAAUUUAACAGUUGAUUAGCUAUUAGAGUGUCUUGGUAGUUCCCUUGUGUUUUACAUUCCUUUCAGCUUAAUUAAUGACUCACUCUGCCUCUUAAUCUGCCUUCCUUAGAUUACCAACACAGUAGCAUUGUUUAUUUAAGGAGAAUUGCAGGGAGGUGGAUGUUAAAUAGUAUAGGUCAGUAUCUCAUCCAUAGUUGAAUGCCUAAUAAUGUCUUGCUGAUUCAUAUUUAGACCUUAUUCUGCAUUUGACAUAGUUCCAUGGUUGGUAUACAAUAUGGAUUUUAAUCUUUAUUUACUUUGGAAUUUCUUCAGAGAUUUUGAAAUUGUUUUAGAAAAAAAGUAUUUUUUUUAAGUUCCACAGAUAAAGCAUAAAAAUGAAGUAUGUUUCAUAUUCCUUGAUCUAGGGCUUCCAUGUAGGAAUAUAUGAUCAUUGAUAUAAAAAAAAGCACGGUUCAUACUAACCACCCUCAAAUACACAGGUAAAAUGGUGCAGCGUUUAAGAAAACAAAGCAUGGUUGAAAUUGGAGUUGCUGCCCUAUUAUUGAAUUAUGAUAUUUACUCUCAUAUAUUCCCAAAAUUUCACUGUUAUUAAUCCAGGAAAUCAAGAAUUUAAGAUCCUCUCUGCUUCUCUCCCUGUCUCUCUCUGGGUAUCUCUCCUUAGCUUUGGAGGCUACAAUAGGCUCUGUUGAAUUUCUUUGUUAUUUUAUUUUGUUUUAUUUCAUUUCAUUUCAUUUCAUUUCAUUUCAUUUCAUUUCAUUUAUUUUAUCUUAUUCUAUGAGACACUAUAAUCUCAUAUUCAGAGGUUCUACAUUAGAUUUAAUUUGUCCUUCAAAACUGGAUUAGAGAGAGAUGCCAACACAUAUGGUAACUCCUGGAACAGUUUGCAGCUUGAACAACCUACAGGAAACCAUGAAAGCCACAUUUCCUGUCAGUACUGUGAAGCCAAAAUCUGCGUUUGAAAAUGAACUUGAGCAUGUACCUAAAAUCUGUGCAAAAAUCCAUUUAGUGAUCUUGUAUAGUUUUAGAGGUGACAUAUCCUGAGUGACAUUCCAAUAAAAGCUACCAAAAUCUUGA
Long non-coding RNA from Felis catus (domestic cat), 4324 nucleotides. RefSeq lists it as uncharacterized. The record is from RefSeq and is a predicted model, not a curated record. The transcript is spliced from 2 exons. Lineage: Eukaryota; Metazoa; Chordata; Mammalia; Carnivora; Felidae.